ACGGGACUGCACUGGACCAUCUUUCCCGCCCUCCGAAGGCAGGGGUCGGACGUUCAAGUCGUCUCGGGCGUGCCA
This 75-nucleotide transfer RNA is filed under the name Accumulibacter sp. RNAcentral describes it as "tRNA-Arg". Lineage: Bacteria; Pseudomonadati; Pseudomonadota; Betaproteobacteria. The record is from RNAcentral.